AUAAUGAUACUUCCGGCGACGGCUAUGCCACAGGAAUGGCUAGAGGUGAAACUCCUAUGU
Non-coding RNA from Eubacterium sp. CAG:786, 60 nucleotides. The record is from Rfam. Lineage: Bacteria; Bacillati; Bacillota; Clostridia; Eubacteriales; Eubacteriaceae.